CUUCCGGGGGUGGGGCUAGUCAGCGGUUGGGCGGUUCUGGGAAAGCGGCUUCGGAAUAGUUACUGAGGUUAGACUUUGCACUGCUUGUUCUUUCCCGGGUACAGCAGAGCCCCGGUCGGUCCGGGGUACUCUGCGUCUGAUGUUAGCGAAGGACGGCGAAAUUGGAGUUCAGCUCUCCUGGGCUCUCCUGUACCUCAAACUCCGUUCGAAGAUUCCCGGUUGAGCCCUUCUCAGCCACAGUCCAGGACCAGUCCUGCCCACCCAGGGAGUCAUCCAGUUACCAAGUCCUCCCAGUGACAUGGUGAGAGCUAUAUCCACACACCUGGUAACAGGCUGCUGUCUGAGGACCCAGCUGUGGAACCUGAAGGAGACCCUCUCCCAACCCCAUCCUACUGAACAAGGUGCUGGAGGCAGUCCCAUACCAACAGGGACCAUAGAGAAUCCACGCCUGCCUGAACCCCUGGUAACAAGCCCUCCAACCAUGGACCCCCCUGCAGAGCCAGCAACAUCCUCAUAACUGGCUCCAAGCUAACAAGACUGCAAUUCCAAAGUGCACAUUAGAGAAAGGAGAGAGGCACUUCUGAAGAGAGACCUAGUGACAACGGCAGGAAGCGGCCUCUGACGGAUGUCAGCCAACAACAGGAGAGCACCCAAGCAGCAAAUGGGGGCCUGUUUCUUGGAGUGGCUGCAGUCGUGUUUCCCUGGCGAGGCCCUGCUUCUGGCCACCCUCUCCCACAGCUCUGAGCCUGGAGACUUUUUGUCUUAGAUUUAAAAAAAAAACCACCACCACCACCUUUAGUGGCUUCUCUUGUUUCCCCCUCUCCUAGCUGGAGAGGGGUCGGACUCUGAGCCCAGUUUGCUGGUAAAGAGCCUGAUGAAAGGAUGAUUUCUUGCUCUUUUCUUCCUCUUUCCCUUGGGAGCAGCAGUGGUCUUUGCUUCCCUGGAAAACCAAAUGCAAGCCAAGUGUAUAGUUAAAGAGUGUAUAAGCAAAGAGUGAGGCUUUGCCUCGCCGCACAUUGGCUAAGUGUUGAUUCUCAGACUUGAGCGCGAGGGCAGAAUCAGCUAGAGAGCUUGGUAAGCAGGGACUCCGUCCCCAGACUUUCUGACUCACUAGGUGUGGGGUAUGGACCUAGAAAUGUGCAUUUCUAACAAGUUGCUAUAUGGUUCUGAUGCUACCAAUGUAGGAAACAAACUUGAGAAUCACUGGCCUGAACAGUAAGCCUCAAGCAAGAUCAGUGAUGAAAAUCUCUGGCCAAACAGGAAAAGACAGAAAAUUUCAUCUUUGCUCAGACACUUCUUGCUUCACUUACGUGAGUGUUUGCAUUUUUUCCCCAAGGCAGACUUUGUGACUUGGUGAUUCCCACUUGUGUAACCAGUUGAACUGGAUAUUAUAUUUACUUAGACCAAAAACACCCAUAGUUAUAUAUUCUGUAAAAAUAGAGGAUGCUGGCAGCCUGACUUCCCUGCAAGGGAGGGUGGUUCUCCAAAACCUGCUCUUUCCUAGAUCUGUAUCACUGACUCAUAUUUAGACCAAAGGCACCACAAGCAAACUCAUCAGAAUCAGCAGUUCUGUUUUCUGCUGUCACACCCUGCUCCCCACUUAACUCCACUCUCCCCAAGCUGUUUACUCCAGAUAUCAGAUUUUUUAUUAAACCAUUAACAGUAAUUGCUAAGGCAACACACUACUAAUAUAAAGCCAUUUCAAAAUUAAUUACCUAAUGAUAGGUUGUGAAGUUAAAUUACUAAGAUUAUAUUCAUUGAAAAAAUGUUAGCAAUGAAGAGAGUGGAUGAAAACAUCAGAAGGUUAACACAGUUGCAAGAAGACCAGCAGAGGCGUAUCUGGAGCAAUGUCACUUGCAUCCUUUAAAGCACUCACCAGUGGCUUUUGGCUUGAGCACUGUCUCUAUGCAGUUGUAACUAGACAGAACCCAAGUGGUCAGCUUUGAUUUUGAAACAGAUCUGUCAUAGACAAUAAGAGUUCCUGUUGGGAGAGAAUUCCCUGUCAUUUCCUUAGCAGGACUUGGAGAGAGGAAUGAAUUAUAUUCAGUGAAUUCCAAAUUUCAUUGGUACUAAAAUUGACAUUGUUCUGCACUGUAACAUCUCUUAAAUUCAGGUGCAUCUUACAAUGAAUGGCAUUUUAUAAUUAUGGUUGGCCAGGUGGCGGCUGAGAUGUUCUGUCACUGCCUGAACAUGCACAAACUCAGUGGUUAUUCCUAGUGGGAUGACUUGGCAACUGUAAUCUCCAUGUUUCCAGCAAAAAAAUCAUAAGGACCAUCUGGAAAAGAAACAUGCUGCCUGUUGUUUGAAAACAACAUCAAGAAUGUGUCAGCAUCAAAAUGCAUCCACAAGGUAUUAGUGGCUUAAAAGCAAACAAUAGUGAAAUACUUUUAAGAAAUGCUGCUCACCAGCACCUGGUAAUUAAGGACAUCAAUAAUUUUGAGUCAAAAACAUGAUUCAGAAGAAUAGAGAUUCUGAGUAAAGAAAUUAUACGAAUUUCUUAAUGAAUUUAUUUUGCGUAUAUUUUCCUUUUUAUGU
Molecule: long non-coding RNA, 2535 nt
Organism: Camelus dromedarius (Arabian camel)
Lineage: Eukaryota; Metazoa; Chordata; Mammalia; Artiodactyla; Camelidae
Exons: 3
Source: RefSeq, a predicted model, not a curated record